CCUGGUUUGCCUAGGACUGAGGAGUUUCCCAGCACAUGGAACUUUCGGUGCUAAAACUGGGACAGUU
This 67-nucleotide microRNA precursor is filed under the name Pteropus vampyrus (large flying fox). Its description in RNAcentral is "miRNA (ENSPVAG00000030002.1)". Lineage: Eukaryota; Metazoa; Chordata; Mammalia; Chiroptera; Pteropodidae. The record is from RNAcentral.